Molecule: ribosomal RNA, 465 nt
Filed under: uncultured Klebsiella sp.
Lineage: Bacteria; Pseudomonadati; Pseudomonadota; Gammaproteobacteria; Enterobacterales; Enterobacteriaceae
Description: bacterial SSU rRNA
Rfam family: Bacterial small subunit ribosomal RNA
Source: RNAcentral
CCUACGGGCGGCUGCAGUGGGGAAUAUUGCACAAUGGGCGCAAGCCUGAUGCAGCCAUGCCGCGUGUGUGAAGAAGGCCUUCGGGUUGUAAAGCACUUUCAGCGGGGAGGAAGGCGGUGAGGUUAAUAACCUCAUCGAUUGACGUUACCCGCAGAAGAAGCACCGGCUAACUCCGUGCCAGCAGCCGCGGUAAUACGGAGGGUGCAAGCGUUAAUCGGAAUUACUGGGCGUAAAGCGCACGCAGGCGGUCUGUCAAGUCGGAUGUGAAAUCCCCGAGCUCAACCGGGGAACUGCAUUCGAAACUGGCAGGCUAGAGUCUUGUAGAGGGGAGUAGAAUUCCAGGUGUAGCGGUGAAAUGCGUAGAGAUCUGGAGGAAUACCGGUGGCGAAGGCGGCCCCCUGGACAAAGACUGACGCUCAGGUGCGAAAGCGUGGGGAGCAAACAGGAUUAGAUACCCUAGUAGUC